RNAcentral lists this transfer RNA (68 nucleotides) under Cryptonatica andoi. Its description in RNAcentral is "tRNA-Phe". It matches the Rfam family "tRNA". From Rfam's summary of the family: Transfer RNA (tRNA) molecules are approximately 80 nucleotides in length. Lineage: Eukaryota; Metazoa; Mollusca; Gastropoda; Littorinimorpha; Naticidae. The record is from RNAcentral.
AUUUUAGUAGCUUAUAAUUUUAGAGCAUAGCACUGAAGAUGCUAAGGAAGCGAAUACGCUCUAAGAUA